RNAcentral lists this long non-coding RNA (608 nucleotides) under Volvox carteri. Its description in RNAcentral is "long non-coding RNA (VCAR_LNC001960)". Lineage: Eukaryota; Viridiplantae; Chlorophyta; Chlorophyceae; Chlamydomonadales; Volvocaceae. The record is from RNAcentral.
GACAUACAGAACGACAUACAGAAGGACAUACAGAAGGACAUACAGAAGGACAUACAGAAGGACAUACAGAACGACAUACAGAACGACAUACAGAACGACAUACAGAACGACAUACAGAAGGACAUGCAGGACGUACAGAACGACAUACAGAACGACAUACAGAACGACAUACAGAAGGACAUACAGAACGACAUACAGAACGACAUACAGAACGACAUACAGAACGACAUACAGAACGACAUACAGAAGGACAUGCAGGACGUACAGAACGACAUAUAGAAGGAUAUACAGAAGGACAUACAGAAGGACAUACAGAAGGACAUACAGAACGACAUACAGAACGACAUACAGAACGACAUACAGAACGACAUACAGAACGACAUACAGAACGACAUACAGAAGGACAUGCAGGACGUACAGAACGACAUACAGAACGACAUACAGAACGACAUGCAGGACGUACAGAACGACAUACAGAACGACAUACAGAACGACAUACAGAAUUACAUACAGAAGGACAUACAGUACGACAUACAGAACGACAUGCAGAAGGACAUACAGAAGGACAUACAGAAGGACUCCAACAAUCCGGAGGAACGGCAUCCCGC